Molecule: ribosomal RNA, 549 nt
Filed under: uncultured bacterium
Lineage: Bacteria
Description: bacterial SSU rRNA
Rfam family: Bacterial small subunit ribosomal RNA
Source: RNAcentral
UUAGAUCGUCUGCUACAACGAACGCUGGCGGCGUGCCUAACACAUGCAAGUCGAACGGAGUUGAGGGGCUUGCUCCUCAAUUUAGUGGCGCACGGGUGAGUAACGCGUACAUAAUCUGCCUGAUGGUUUGGCAUAACACUUGGAAAGGGGUGCUAAUACCGGAUAAGCCCACGGAGUCCUUGGACACUGCGGGAAAAGGAGGGGACCUUCGGGCCUUCCGCCAACAGAUGAGUCUGCGUACCAUUAGCUAGUUGGUAGGGUAAAGGCCUACCAAGGCGACGAUGGUUAGCUGGUCUGAGAGGAUGAUCAGCCACACUGGAACUGAGACACGGUCCAUACUCCUACGGGAGGCAGCAGUGGGGAAUUCUGCUCAGUGGGGGAAACCCUGACGCAGCAGCGCCGCGUGAGUGAUGAAGGCCCUUGGGUCGUAAAGCUCUGACAGACGCAAAUAAAUGCAUGAUGGCUAAUAUCCAUUGUGCUUGACGGUACUGUCAUAGGAAGCACCGGCUAACUCCGUGCCAGCAGCCGUGGUAAUACAAGCCGAAUUCU